This 432-nucleotide ribosomal RNA is filed under the name uncultured bacterium. Its description in RNAcentral is "partial 16S ribosomal RNA". It matches the Rfam family "Bacterial small subunit ribosomal RNA", at positions 29 to 507 of the family's 1533-position model. The record is from RNAcentral.
AACGAACGCUGGCGGCAUGCCUAACACAUGCAAGUCGAACGAAGCCUUCGGGCUUAGUGGCGCACGGGUGCGUAACGCGUGGAAUCUGCCCCUUGCUUCGGAAUAACAGUUAGAAAUGACUGCUAAUACCGGAUGAAGUCUUCGGACCAAAGAUUUAUCGGCAAGGGAUGAGCCCGCGUAGGAUUAGGUAGUUGGUGGGGUAAAGGCCUACCAAGCCGACGAUCCUUAGCUGGUCUGAGAGGAUGAUCAGCCACACUGGGACUGAGACACGGCCCAGACUCCUACGGGAGGCAGCAGUGGGGAAUAUUGGACAAUGGACGCAAGUCUGAUCCAGCAAUGCCGCGUGAGUGAUGAAGGCCUUAGGGUUGUAAAGCUCUUUUACCAGGGAUGAUAAUGACAGUACCUGGAGAAUAAGCACCGGCUAACUCCGUG